AGAUUAAGUUAUUAAGGGCGCACGGUGGAUGCCUUGGCACUAGAAGCCGAUGAAGGACGUUACUAACGACGAUAUGCUUUGGGGAGCUGUAAGUAAGC
RNAcentral lists this ribosomal RNA (98 nucleotides) under Staphylococcus aureus. Its description in RNAcentral is "partial 23S ribosomal RNA". It matches the Rfam family "Bacterial large subunit ribosomal RNA", at positions 1 to 97 of the family's 2925-position model. Lineage: Bacteria; Bacillati; Bacillota; Bacilli; Caryophanales; Staphylococcaceae. The record is from RNAcentral. RNAcentral also lists the same sequence under 11 other names.